This 380-nucleotide ribosomal RNA is filed under the name uncultured bacterium. RNAcentral's name for it is "bacterial SSU rRNA". It matches the Rfam family "Bacterial small subunit ribosomal RNA", at positions 107 to 520 of the family's 1533-position model. The record is from RNAcentral.
UGAGUAACGCGUAGGAAUGUGUCCGGAGGUGGGGGACAACCCUGGGAAACUGGGGCUAAUACCGCAUAUGGCCUGAGGGUCAAAGCCGCGAGGCGCCUUUGGAGCAGCCUGCGUCCGAUUAGCUAGUUGGUGGGGUAAGAGCCUACCAAGGCGACGAUCGGUAGCUGGUCUGAGAGGACGAUCAGCCACACUGGGACUGAGACACGGCCCAGACUCCUACGGGAGGCAGCAGUGGGGAAUAUUGGACAAUGGGCGCAAGCCUGAUCCAGCAAUUCCGCGUGGGUGAAGAAGGUCUUCGGAUUGUAAAGCCCUUUCGGCAGGGACGAUGAUGACGGUACCUGCAGAAGAAGCCCCGGCUAACUUCGUGCCAGCAGCCGCGG